This 241-nucleotide ribosomal RNA is filed under the name Clostridium botulinum. RNAcentral describes it as "partial 23S ribosomal RNA". It matches the Rfam family "Bacterial large subunit ribosomal RNA", at positions 388 to 631 of the family's 2925-position model. The record is from RNAcentral. Lineage: Bacteria; Bacillati; Bacillota; Clostridia; Eubacteriales; Clostridiaceae.
GAAAACUUUAAGAUCUAAUCCAGAGUACCACGAGACACGUGAAACCUUGUGGGAAGCAGGGAGGACCACCUCCCAAGGCUAAAUACUACCUAGUGACCGAUAGUGAAGCAGUACCGUGAGGGAAAGGGGAAAAGAACCCCGGAAGGGGAGUGAAAUAGAACCUGAAACCGUGUGCCUACAACCGAUCGGAGCACGUUAAAGUGUGACGAUGUGCUUUUUGUAGAACGAGCCAGCGAGUUAC